GGCGCGCCCCGGGCGGGGCGGGGGCACGGGGGGAACGCGAAGAACCUUACCUACCCUUGACAUGUCAGGAAUCCUGGAGAGAUUGGGGAGUGCUCGAAAGGGAACCUGAACACAGGUGCUGCAUGGCUGUCGUCAGCUCGUGUCGUGAGAUGUUGGGUUAAGUCCCGCAACGAGCGCAACCCUUGUCAUUAGUUGCUACGAAAGGGCACUCUAAUGAGACUGCCGGUGACAAACCGGAGGAAGGUGGGGAUGACGUCAAGUCCUCAUGGCCCUUAUGGGUAGGGCUUCACACGUCAUACAAUGGUACAUACAGAGGGCCGCCAACCCGCGAGGGGGAGCUAAUCCCAGAAAGUGUAUCGUAGUCCGGAUUGCAGUCUGCAACUCGACUGCGUGAAGUUGGAAUCGCUAGUAAUCGCGGAUCAGCAUGUCGCGGUGAAUACGUUCCCGGGUCUUGUACACACCGA
This 464-nucleotide ribosomal RNA is filed under the name uncultured bacterium. RNAcentral's name for it is "bacterial SSU rRNA". It matches the Rfam family "Bacterial small subunit ribosomal RNA", at positions 918 to 1393 of the family's 1533-position model. The record is from RNAcentral.